Molecule: ribosomal RNA, 266 nt
Filed under: Alcaligenes faecalis
Lineage: Bacteria; Pseudomonadati; Pseudomonadota; Betaproteobacteria; Burkholderiales; Alcaligenaceae
Description: partial 16S ribosomal RNA
Rfam family: Bacterial small subunit ribosomal RNA
Source: RNAcentral
UCUCUUGGCGGCGAGUGGCGGACGGGUGAUUAAUAUAUCGGAACGUGCCCAGUAGCGGGGGAUAACUACUCGAAAGAGUGGCUAAUACCGCAUACGCCCUACGGGGGAAAGGGGGGGAUCGCAAGACCUCUCACUAUUGGAGCGGCCGAUAUCGGAUUAGCUAGUUGGUGGGGUAAAGGCUCACCAAGGCAACGAUCCGUAGCUGGUUUGAGAGGACGACCAGCCACACUGGGACUGAGACACGGCCCAGACUCCUACGGGAGGCA